CACAGCUGCUGCUCCUUUUCUGAACAAACAGCCAAGCUCAGCUGGGAGGCGUCCUUAAAGGUCAGCUCCUCCUCCCUCUAAAGCUUGAAUUUCUCCCCAUGCAUCACUAGUUGUGCCUUUUUUUUCCUGCAAAACCAGUCACCACACUUGAAGCAGACUGAGCACCCACUGCCCAUGGGGUAGGAAGAGUGGUAAUACAAUGGCUGGAGGUCUGGCCCCAUGAGCUGGGUCCUCCUGUAGUAUUUUCAAGCUUGGAAAAGGUACAGCACUGAGAUAAGGGGAGGAAACCCUAGCCACAGAGCUGCCUCAAAUCCUAUGGCCACAAGGAGCUGAAUGUUUCCAAGAACCAUGAGAACGAGGAAGCAGACACUUCCCCAGUCAAGCCUCCAGAGAGAACCCAAUCCUGGUCGACAUCUUGAUGACAGGCUUGUGAGAUCCUAAGCAGAGGACCCAUUAAGCUGUGCUCACACUACUGAUUCACAGAAAUUGUGAGCUCAAGCUGAGAGCGGGGCUCGGAGGCCCUGCCUCCUGUUGGUCCCCAAGGCUGCCCCCAGAAUGGGGAGGGGCUCUCCAGGUGAUUUUGAUUUGGCUGUCUGGAUGCUGAAGAAUUCCUUUAUUUAUUUAUUUUUAGUCCUUGACGUUCAAUAAUGGCUCACUAUUACUUUGGUUUGAACAGAAGUUCGUUUUAAGAACCUUGAAGACAGAUUUGUGUCCUCCGCAAGUCAAAGUCAAGGCAGCUGCUUCUGGGGGCUGUAGCACCGCUGCUAGAACCAAGAGGUGAGGGCCGCAGAAGGCACCCUGCAAGGUCACUGCAGAUGCAGCUGAGGAGAGGAGUGUAGGGUCAUCUAGAAGAGGCAGCUCUGCCCCCAGGAGCGGGAGAUUUCACCAUCAGACUCCAGAAAUUCUGGUCCCAGAGGCAAGAUGUCCCUACUGUGAGCCUGAUGUUUAAACAUGAACUUCACCUGACUCCCCCUCUUCUGAUUUCAUGUCCUCAUGGCAAUUUUCUGGCGCCAGUGAAGGGCUGCUCAUGUAGAGAGAGAAUGCAAAAAAAAAAAAAAAAAAUACAGAUUUUAAAUAUUUCUGAGUCUCUCACAGUGAUUUCUCAGGGUAAUGAGUGGCUUCUGAUUACCAUUUGGUUUUCCCAGGCUACAGGGAGAAAAGGAGAUUGUUAUGCCAACCUGAAUAAUUCCAGUCUGUGUGACAAUUCUAUUUCUCACUUUAAAUUAAUAUAUUGCCAGCCUGAUGCCUUCCCCAGGUCUUCUGCACAUUUUAAUGGUGUCCUUGUUGUGGUCUUGCUUGUCUCAGAUCGACCUGUUCUUUUGAAAAGCCAGAUACAAAAGCAUAGAAGCAAGGGUUGAAGAAUCAGCAUUUGAAUUUCAGAAUGCUCGAGAGAAGGAGAUUUUGUUGAAGUUGGGUGACUUAACAAACCGACUUAACGAGCACUGUGUUUAUUUUGCGUAAACAUAAUCCCAGUUAUGAAAUUACAGCAGAAGCCUUGUUAUCUAACAAAAUGAAGACCAAUAGUUUAAUCAAAAAGUUGGAUGAAGCAUGGAAUUUAUUUUUAAAAAACC
Molecule: long non-coding RNA, 1571 nt
Filed under: Equus caballus (horse)
Lineage: Eukaryota; Metazoa; Chordata; Mammalia; Perissodactyla; Equidae
Description: lncRNA (ENSECAG00000052856.1)
Source: RNAcentral